RNAcentral lists this ribosomal RNA (227 nucleotides) under uncultured bacterium. RNAcentral's name for it is "partial 16S ribosomal RNA". It matches the Rfam family "Bacterial small subunit ribosomal RNA", at positions 1274 to 1500 of the family's 1533-position model. The record is from RNAcentral.
UCAAAAAAACAAUCUCAGUUCAGACUGUAGGCUGCAACUCGCCUGCACGAAGUCGGAAUUGCUAGUAAUCGUAGGUCAGCAUACUACGGUGAAUACGUUCCCGGGCCUUGUACACACCGCCCGUCAAACCAUGAGAGUUGGCAACACCCGAAGUCGGUAGUCUAACCGCAAGGAGGACGCCGCCGAAGGUGGGGUUGAUGACUGGGGUGAAGUCGUAACAAGGUACC